AGAAGGUGACAUGGGACUAGUUAUCUUUCAGGAGUUUUAUGUGCCAUCGGGGCAUUGUUAUUCCUCCCCACCAAUGAGGAGAGGUUAAGGAGAUAAUUGAUCAUGCUAUCUUCCUUUACUAGAGAGACUAUCUUAUUUAGAGUGGUGUGUUCAAUUGGUUAGCCUUCAACGCCUAACUUUGGGACAGGGAGACCAUCCAUUUCAUUGGUCGGGAGAGCUAAGCUAUUGCCAUGUGUCAGUA
Molecule: long non-coding RNA, 241 nt
Filed under: Elaeis guineensis (African oil palm)
Lineage: Eukaryota; Viridiplantae; Streptophyta; Magnoliopsida; Arecales; Arecaceae
Description: long non-coding RNA (EGUI_LNC052901)
Source: RNAcentral